This 494-nucleotide ribosomal RNA is filed under the name uncultured bacterium. RNAcentral describes it as "partial 16S ribosomal RNA". It matches the Rfam family "Bacterial small subunit ribosomal RNA", at positions 28 to 507 of the family's 1533-position model. The record is from RNAcentral.
GACGAACGCUGGCGGCGUGCUUAACACAUGCAAGUCGAACGGAAAGGCCUGCUUUCCCUUGUGGAUUUCGUGUACUCGGGUGGCGAACGGGUGAGUAACACGUGAGUGAUUUGCCCCCAACUUGGGUAUAAGCCCGGGAAACUGUGUCUAAUUCUCGUUAGGACUGCAGGGUGGUGCCUGUGGUGGAAAACGUUCUUCUAGUGGUGGGGGAUGCGCUCGUGGCCUAUCAGGUUGUUGGUGGGGUAAUGGCCCACCAAGGCGGCGACGCGAAGUCGGCCUGAGAGGGGGGACGGUGACAUUGGGACAGGGACACGGCCCAGACGGCAGGGGGCGGCAGCGGAGGGGAAGAAAGGGCAGAGAGCGGGAGGCUGCAGCAGCGACGCAGCGUGGGGGAUGACGGGAUUGGGGUUGUAAGCUCCUUGGGAACGCGAGGAAGCCACCUGGUUGGAAGGGUGGUGACGGUAGUGGAAGAAGAAGCACCGGCUAACUACGUG